This 531-nucleotide ribosomal RNA is filed under the name uncultured bacterium. RNAcentral describes it as "bacterial SSU rRNA". It matches the Rfam family "Bacterial small subunit ribosomal RNA", at positions 979 to 1509 of the family's 1533-position model. The record is from RNAcentral.
CCUUGACAUACUAAGAACUUUCCAGAGAUGGAUUGGUGCCUUCGGGAACUUAGAUACAGGUGCUGCAUGGCUGUCGUCAGCUCGUGUCGUGAGAUGUUGGGUUAAGUCCCGCAACGAGCGCAACCCUUUUCCUUAUUUGCCAGCGGGUCAUGCCGGGAACUUUAAGGAUACUGCCAGUGACAAACUGGAGGAAGGCGGGGACGACGUCAAGUCAUCAUGGCCCUUACGGCCAGGGCUACACACGUGCUACAAUGGUCGGUACAAAGGGUUGCUACCUCGCGAGAGGAUGCUAAUCUCAAAAAGCCGAUCAUAGUCCGGAUCGCAGUCUGCAACUCGACUGCGUGAAGUCGGAAUCGCUAGUAAUCGCGGAUCAGAAUGCCGCGGUGAAUACGUUCCCGGGCCUUGUACACACCGCCCGUCACACCAUGGGAGUUUGUUGCACCAGAAGUAGGUAGUCUAACCGCAAGGAGGACGCUUACCACGGUGUGGCCGAUGACUGGGGUGAAGUCGUAACAAGGUAGGCGUAGAUGA